Molecule: ribosomal RNA, 403 nt
Filed under: Bacteroidota bacterium
Lineage: Bacteria; Pseudomonadati; Bacteroidota
Description: Bacteroidetes bacterium partial 16S ribosomal RNA
Rfam family: Bacterial small subunit ribosomal RNA
Source: RNAcentral
UGGGGAAUAUUGCACAAUGGGGGAAACCCUGAUGCAGCGACGCCGCGUGAACGAAGAAGGUAUUCGUAUCGUAAAGUUCUGUCCUAUGGGAAGAUAAUGACAGUACCAUAGAAGAAAGCUCCGGCUAAAUACGUGUCAGCAGCCGCGGUAAUACGUAUGGAGCGAGCGUUGUCCGGAAUAAUUGGGCGUAAAGGGUACGCAGGCGGUUUAAUAAGUCGAAUGUUAAAGAUCGGGGCUCAACCCCGUAAAGCAUUGGAAACUUAUAAACUUGAGUAGUGGAGAGGAAAGUGGAAUUCCUAGUGUAGUGGUGAAAUACGUAGAUAUUAGGAGGAAUGCCAGUGGCGAAGGCGACUUUCUGGACACAAACUGACGCUGAGGUACGAAAGCGUGGGGAGCAAACAGG